RNAcentral lists this small RNA (632 nucleotides) under Pan troglodytes (chimpanzee). RNAcentral describes it as "processed transcript". Lineage: Eukaryota; Metazoa; Chordata; Mammalia; Primates; Hominidae. The record is from RNAcentral.
AGGGGAAGAACUUCCCAGCAGAAGGAGCAUGUGUGGAGGCUUGGAGGUCAAAAAAUGCUGAUGGGACUGGUUAUGGAUGGGGCAGAGAAUUUGAGGAACCCUGGAGCCCCACUGGUCGGGACUCCUGUGGACAGCCAUGCUCAUCUCUCUGGCCAUCGUCAUUGCCCUCCCCAAGCCCCAUGGCAUCCGGGCCUUAAUUGCCUCCACAAUUCUACGAUUGAUAUUUUCAGUCGGGUUACAACCCACGUUGUUUCUUCUGGGCGCUUUCAAUGUAUGCAAUAAAAUCAUCUUUCUAAUGAGCUUUGUGGGCAACUGUGGGACAUUCACAAGAGGCUACCGAGCCAUGGUUCUGGAUGUUGAGUUCCUCUAUCAUUUGUUGUAUCUGGUGAUCUGUGCCAUGGGGCUCUUUGUCCAUGAAUUCUUCUACAGUCUGCUGCUUUUUGAUUUAGUGUACAGAGAAGAGACUUUGCUUAAUGUCAUUAAAAGUGUCACUCGCAAUGGACGGUCCAUCAUCCUGACAGCAGUUCUGGCUCUGAUCCUCGUUUACCUGUUCUCGAUAGUGGGCUACCUUUUCUUCAAGGAUGACUUUAUCUUGGAAGUAGAUAGGCUGCCCAAUGAAACAGCUGUUCCAG